Long non-coding RNA from Esox lucius (northern pike), 2957 nucleotides. RefSeq lists it as uncharacterized. The transcript has 5 exons. Lineage: Eukaryota; Metazoa; Chordata; Actinopteri; Esociformes; Esocidae. The record is from RefSeq and is a predicted model, not a curated record.
CGGUUGCUGUAUGGAGCUAAUUGUUACGAGUUCUCUACGUGACCUGCUAAAAGUUGACUAAAAAGAUGUCACCAUUAUUGUUCAUUUGUGCGCUGCAACAAAGUGAAAACGCGACAAAAGUCCUUUCACUUGACCUACCUUUUCAAUUAAGAAGAGGCCUUGCGCAGCAGGUUGUCCCAGGAGCAUGGGAUGAAAAAACUGACCAUGAUUUGGAGACUGCUGCGGACCUCCUGGAAUAACACUGCUAUGUCAAGAGGAGGACCGAAGGAAAUCUUCGGCUUCUGAUGCCACAAAUUGUCCUUGAGGACAUCUGCUUGGAGGUGGUCCUGGCUGAGGGCGAUAGAGCCUUCCUGAGUCUCUCCCUCAGCUGCUGUCUCCUCAGAGACAUCAUAAGGGAGCAGAACUUCAUGGACAGGGCCCAUUUUACAUGGCUGGAUGGUGAAGUGGACUGGACCCGAUUUUUCGGAGUUGUUUAAAAGAGAGGCACGGGUGGGCUUUUCAGUCCAAAUACAGUAUGUUUGUACUACAGAGAGCUGUAAAAGGACUGCAGGGGUUGUACUGUAAAUGGGAAGCAUGGGGUUUACCCACGCUACUACAGUGAUAUUUCGUGCCCCCCUGGUAUGCUUAGGCAGAUUGCCAAGCUCCCUAUCCUAUAGGCUUACAGAAAUGGAAAUUGAGGUUUUGGAGCAAGGACUCACCUUCAUUCCUACUACAAAGUAGAUGGACCGCAGGGACUUGCAUACCUACCAUAUGCUGUUUUGUGAUGUUUAGGCCCAAAUCAGCGAAUCAUUUUAACCUUACUCAAUAACAGUUAAAUACUGUCAGGAACCUUCGUAACAGAGUAUCGCAAUAAAACCAGCUGAUAAGGGGUCACAAAUUGUUAUUAUGGAUAAGGUCCAAUAUCUGGUUGAGGCAAAUGGACAGCUUAGUAAUGAGAAACCGUACGCCAUGCUACAUCACUCCAUUCAUUCUGAGACACAGGUAUGAGUUGCAUCCCUUCCAGACCCAGAACAGAAGGGGCAACAGGCAGUGGCAGAGUGGGCUCCGGUAAUGGCUACGGUUGAAACGGGUCGACAUAAAGUGAUGAUGGGUUAUGCUACAAAAGAUAAUUCUUACUUGAGUGAAUCCCAAGCUGAGUCCCUUCUUAACAUCCUAAAAACAAACCUGCCAAAUUCGAGCCGGCGCUAGCCACAUGCCAGGAGCCUCUCAGGCACCUUAAUAUAGGGAGAAAGAGAAGUGACUGGCUGGUUGACAUAGUUAAACCAAUUGUGGUGAUAGGAGAUUUGUGAUAUAGUGGUGGAGUUGUAUGAAAAAAAACUUUAUUAGGGCUAAACAAAUGUCUUACCUGUUGGGUCCCGAUAAGACCCAGAUAAUAUUAUCUGCUUCCUAAAAUUCACCAAGCUGCACAGCAGUGGACUGUUCCUGUCCAGGUUCCAUGCGACUGCCCUAUUGUGAGUGACUGGCCCUGAGUCGUAUCAGUUUGCAGAAUACAUAGAUUUUUACAUGAAUCCUCUCUCCCAGAAAUGCGGCAGCAUUGUGAAAGACACAGGACGUUGUGAAUAAACUGAAUGGUUUGAAAAUACCAGUAGACUGUGGACAUCAAUUCACUGUAUUCCAACAUUGGGCCUACACGCAAUUGAAUACCUUUCAGUAGAUUCUUUAAACGUCCAGACAGGGCUAUUUUGGAUUUACUGGAGCUGAGUUUGACCAGGAAUUAUUUGGAAUUUUAUUAUAGGCAUUACCUUCAGAUACAUGGAACAGCCAUGGGUAAAACUUUUGCCCCGUAUGUAGUUUUGGGAGGGAACAGCAUUUCGUAAAUGUACAACCUUACCAAUGCUUCAAGAGCUUGGUGGCACUUAGCUCCAAACUUCAGUCCCACUUCCAACUAGUUCAGCAGGCUAAUGGACAUUAGUGAUAUCAGCAUACAGGAGAAAUAAAAACCCUAAAGACAUGCUUGUUCACUCUAGCCUCACACAGUAGAAAAAACCAUUGUGCAAUGACCAAUACCUUUUGGUAUCUCAAAGGUAUCUCAAAAAGACCUUUUCUGGGUUGGGGUCUCCAAUAUGGUAACAUAUGGGGUUGGAAACAGCCAACGUGGUUUAUGAGAUUAGGUGCAAUCUGUGUCUGAAGAUAUACAUCGAUUUAACCAAAAAUGCCCAAGGUGAUAGACUUAUACAGCAUUUACAUCACAAUGGUAAAAUGGAUAGAAUCAUGGUGCUAUAUACUCACUUCCAGGGACACACUGUAGAUAAUGUAAUACUUUGAUUUAGAGUCAAAGCCACAACGACAGAGGGCAGAUGAUUCAAUGGGUUUGAAAGAGAAGAUUUAGGCAUCCCGGCACCUUGCCUCUUUCUGGUGUCGGGGGGUCGGAGAAGGCAAGCGGGGGGUUCCCUCUAAGAUCUGAGAGAUCUACAUCGGGGUGCAGAUGUAUUAAGUGCAGGAAUGUACCAAUGCAUGUAUUUGAGAAUUGUGUGGGCUUUAUUUUAUUUUCCAAAGAUAAUUAUUUCUGACAUAAAAAGCAAAAGCACUUAUUGUACAUGGUGUUUAUUUAUUGUUGGUACAUUUUCUGCAGUAUGUAUUUCUUAUCAUAACUUGAUGGAGGAGUCUUCUUUGGUGGCAAGCUGCAGUGUUAGUCCACGUGAAUUUACAGCUUUAAAAUGGUUGUAGUCUUGUUUUGACUGGGCCUUCACUGUCCUUCAAAAGCCAAACCUGUUCUAAAUUAGAAAUCAAGGGAAUUUGACAAAAAAAUACUAACUUCAGUUGUGCAGGUAAGUUUUCACUUACCUGUUGUUUAAACGCUAUCUGGUGUUGACAUCUAGGAGGGGUAGCAGAUAUCACCUGUGGGUUCAUGAAAUAAGAGGGUAAGAAAGCACUGUCUGUGAAAUUAUUGUAUUUACAGUGGGGCAAAAAAGUAUUUAGUCAGCCACCAAUUGUGCAAGUUCUCCCACUUAAAAAGA